GUUUAGUAUUUGGUCGUAGACCCGAAACCAGGUGAUCUACCCUUGGUCAGGUUGAAGUUCAGGUAACACUGAAUGGAGGACCGAACCGACUUACGUUGAAAAGUGAGCGGAUGAACUGAGGGUAGCGGAGAAAUUCCAAUCGAACCUGGAGAUAGCUGGUUCUCUCCGAAAUAGCUUUAGGGCUAGCCUCAAGUGAUGAUUAUUGGAGGUAGAGCACUGUUUGGACGAGGGGCCCCUCUCGGGUUACCGAAUUCAGACAAACUCCGAAUGCCAAUUAAUUUAACUUGGGAGUCAGAACAUGGGUGAUAAGGUCCGUGUUCGAAAGGGAAACAGCCCAGACCACCAGC
This 347-nucleotide ribosomal RNA is filed under the name Staphylococcus aureus. RNAcentral's name for it is "partial 23S ribosomal RNA". It matches the Rfam family "Bacterial large subunit ribosomal RNA", at positions 694 to 1039 of the family's 2925-position model. The record is from RNAcentral. Lineage: Bacteria; Bacillati; Bacillota; Bacilli; Caryophanales; Staphylococcaceae.